UACAGAGGGUGCAAGAGUUAAUCGGAAUUACUGGGCGUAAAGCGUGCGUAGACGGUUUUGUAAGUCGGAUGUGAAAUCCCCGGGCUCAACCUGGGAAUUGCAUUCGAUACUGCGAAGCUAGGGUACGGUAGAGGGAAGCGGAAUUUCCGGUGUAGCGGUGAAAUGCGUAGAUAUCGGAAGGAACAUCAGUGGCGAAAGCGGCUUCCUGGACCAGUACCGACGUUCAGGCACGAAAGCGUGGGGAGCAUACAGG
Molecule: ribosomal RNA, 253 nt
Filed under: uncultured bacterium
Lineage: Bacteria
Description: partial 16S ribosomal RNA
Rfam family: Bacterial small subunit ribosomal RNA
Source: RNAcentral